GACAGAGGUGCCAAGCGUUAGGCGGAAUCACCGGGCUUAAAGCGUGUGUAGGCGGAUCGUUAAGUACCUUGUGAAAUCCCACGGCUCAACCGUGGAACUGCUGGGUAUACUGGCGAUCUUGAGCCACCUAGGGGCGAGCGGAACAAGCGGUGGAGCGGUGAAAUGCGUAGAUAUCGCUUGGAACGCCAACGGUGAAAACAGCUCGCUGGGGGUGUGCUGACGCUGAGACACGAAAGCCAGGGGAGCGAACGGG
Molecule: ribosomal RNA, 253 nt
Filed under: uncultured bacterium
Lineage: Bacteria
Description: partial 16S ribosomal RNA
Rfam family: Bacterial small subunit ribosomal RNA
Source: RNAcentral